Odocoileus virginianus texanus is the source of this 1542-nucleotide long non-coding RNA. RefSeq lists it as uncharacterized. The record is from RefSeq and is a predicted model, not a curated record. NCBI's taxonomy places the organism in Eukaryota, Metazoa, Chordata, Mammalia, Artiodactyla, Cervidae.
GUUGCAAAGAGUGGGACAUGACUGAGCGACUUCACUUUCACCUUCACCAGGGGUUGGCAAACAUUGUCUUUAGAGGACUUAAGAGUAUACAUUUUAGGUUUCUGUAGGCCACAUAACAUCUCUGCGGCAUUAUUUCUUUUGACUUUUUUUUUUAAAAGAACUCAGCAAAAUAAAAUUCCAAUUUACUGUUGGAUGACAUUGUUUCAUACACACAUCAAACAGGCCAAAAAAAUAGAAAGCAACUUCAGAGACAAAAAAAAAAAAAAGAACCUGUUUAUCUUUGGCCUUUCUAGCCAUCUCAGACAAACCAACUACUUGUACAGCUAAGUACAUACACAAAAUGCUCAGAAUAAGACUGUUUUGUUGUUGCUGUUUUUGGUUUUUUCACAAGGUUUUUUUCUCCUCUGAGAUCAUAAUGAACAUGAUCGCACCACAAGUGAAGUCAGAGGUAGGACAGAGACUGCUCCUAAGGCUGGUUUGGUCAUCUGGGGUCAUUAAAAGUGACUCACUCCUAACAACAUGUACAAAAAUAUAAAAUGUAAAUAAAAAUACAAAUUUUCCUUUAAAAAGUACUUUAAGAAGAAAAGAGGGCCUUGGAAAUUUUGGUUCUUUUUUUCCUUCCCUGCUACAAAUUCAUGUUACUGUUUUGGCUGGGUGGUAGAGAAUGUGUGUCAUCUUCAGGAGGCGCUGCCGUGGUGGGUGGGCAGGCCUGCAGGAGCUACUGGAAGAUGACCAUGUUUAGACUGAGACGGGAAGUGGAGGGUGAACAGGUUUCUGCCCUGUGGCAUGUGGGAUCUUAGCCCCAGCUAAGAUCUUAGCCCCCCAGCUGAACCCAUACCCCCUGCAUUGGAAUGAGGAGUCUUAACCACUGGACCAGGAGGGAAGUCCCAUGGCUCUGCUGGUAACAUAAAGAUGAAAACAGACGGGUCUUACCUUCAAGGAGUUCAGUCUAAUGGUGGAGAGAACAGAGUUAUAUGCUUUCUAAUUCAUGAAGAAAACGCAGAUCUUCAUAUAGGAAUCCCCUUAAUCUCGCUACCCGAUAGGAAUAAUGAUGAUGCUUGUGGGAUCUUAGUUCCCAGACAGACAGAGAUUAGCUCUCCACCCCUUGCACUGGAGGCUCAGAGACCCAACCACUGGACUGCCAGGUACAUUGCCAGUGUAUGUCUUUUUAAGAUUUGUCCAAUUUGUUGGUAUAAACUGACUGAUAAACUUCCCUAACAAUAUUUUUAAUUUCUGUAUGAUAGUAAUAUCCCCCUUUUCAGUACCUAAUAUUGAUAAUCUGUUUAUUCUUUUUUAAAAGGGCAAUCUAUCUCAAGGUAUAACAAUAUUAUAGAUCUUUUCAAAGAACUUUUUGUUUCAUUGAUUUUCCUCUACUAUUUUUCUGUUUUUUUCACUGAUCUCCACUCAAAACUUCUGUUCACUUUGAGUUUAUUAUUCUUAAGCUGGAAAACCUUAAGAUGGUUGAAUUGAGACCAUGCUGCUGCUGCUAAGUCACUUCAGUCAUGUCUGACUCCGUGCAACCCCACAGACGUCAGCCCACCA